Molecule: transfer RNA, 115 nt
Rfam family: tRNA
About the family: Transfer RNA (tRNA) molecules are approximately 80 nucleotides in length. Their secondary structure includes four short double-helical elements and three loops (D, anti-codon, and T loops).
Source: Rfam
GGUCCUAUGGGGUAGUGGUUAUCCCACCGGAUUUUGAUGAACAAUAUACAUAUCCUGUAUAUGUAUAGGAAGAUCGAAGCUUCCGGUAACGCCGGUUCGAAUCCGGCUAGGACCU